This 59-nucleotide transfer RNA is filed under the name Lasiurus borealis (red bat). Its description in RNAcentral is "tRNA-Ser". Lineage: Eukaryota; Metazoa; Chordata; Mammalia; Chiroptera; Vespertilionidae. The record is from RNAcentral.
GAAAAAGAAAUCAAGAACUGCUAAUUCAUGUACCCGUGCUUAAAAUCACGGCUUUUUCA